This 484-nucleotide ribosomal RNA is filed under the name uncultured bacterium. RNAcentral's name for it is "partial 16S ribosomal RNA". It matches the Rfam family "Bacterial small subunit ribosomal RNA", at positions 30 to 507 of the family's 1533-position model. The record is from RNAcentral.
AUUGAACGCUGGCGGCAGGCCUAACACAUGCAAGUCGAGCGGAUGAAGGGAGCUUGCUCCUGGAUUCAGCGGCGGACGGGUGAGUAAUGCCUAGGAAUCUGCCUGGUAGUGGGGGAUAACGUCCGGAAACGGGCGCUAAUACCGCAUACGUCCUGAGGGAGAAAGUGGGGGAUCUUCGGACCUCACGCUAUCAGAUGAGCCUAGGUCGGAUUAGCUAGUUGGUGGGGUAAAGGCCUACCAAGGCGACGAUCCGUAACUGGUCUGAGAGGAUGAUCAGUCACAUUGGAACUGAGACACGUUCCCGACUCCUACGGGAGGCAGCAGUGGGGAAUAUUGGACAAUGGGCGAAAGCCUGAUCCAGCCAUGCCGCGUGUGUGAAGAAGGUCUUCGGAUUGUAAAGCACUUUAAGUUGGGAGGAAGGGCAGUAAGUUAAUACCUUGCUGUUUUGACGUUACCAACAGAAUAAGCACCGGCUAACUUCGUG